AGCAGCCGCGGUAAUUCCAGCUCCAAUAGCGUAUAUUAAAGUUGUUGCAGUUAAAAAGCUCGUAGUUGAAUUUCGGGGUUAGUAGGUUGGUCAUGCCUCUGGUAUGUACUGGUCUCACUGAUUCCUCCUUCCUGAUGAACCUUAAUGCCAUUUAUUUGGUGUUUUGGGGAAUUUGGACUGUUACUUUGAAAAAAUUAGAGUGUUUAAAGCAAGCUAACGCUUGAAUACAUUAGCAUGGAAUAAUGAAAUAGGACGUUCGAUCCUAUUUUGUUGGUUUCUAGGAUUGACGUAAUGAUUAAUAGGGAUAGUUGGGGGCAUUAGUAUUCAAUUGUCAGAGGUGAAAUUCUUGGAUUUAUUGAAGACUUAACUACUGCGAAAGCAUUUGCCAAGGAUGUUUUCAUUAAUCAAGAACGAAAGUUAGGGGAUCGAAGACGAUCAGAUACCGUCGUAGUCU
Molecule: ribosomal RNA, 454 nt
Filed under: uncultured Glomus
Lineage: Eukaryota; Fungi; Glomeromycota; Glomeromycetes; Glomerales; Glomeraceae
Description: SSU rRNA
Rfam family: Eukaryotic small subunit ribosomal RNA
Source: RNAcentral